RNAcentral lists this ribosomal RNA (252 nucleotides) under uncultured prokaryote. RNAcentral's name for it is "partial 16S ribosomal RNA". It matches the Rfam family "Bacterial small subunit ribosomal RNA", at positions 548 to 777 of the family's 1533-position model. The record is from RNAcentral.
CCUCCUUUUCUCUCUUUUUUCUGAAUUACUGGGUGUAAAGCGCACGUAGGCGGGUUUGUAAGUAGGGGGUGAAAUCCCAGGGCUCAACCCUGGAACUGCCUUCUAGACUGCAAGCCUGGAGGUCAGGAGAGGCGAGUGGAAUACCGAGUGUAGAGGUGAAAUUCGUAGAUAUUCGGUGGAACACCAGUGGCGAAGGCGACUCGCUGGACUGAUACUGACGCUGAGGUGCGAAAGCGUGGGGAGCAAACAGGA